Molecule: ribosomal RNA, 496 nt
Filed under: uncultured bacterium
Lineage: Bacteria
Description: bacterial SSU rRNA
Rfam family: Bacterial small subunit ribosomal RNA
Source: RNAcentral
AACGAACGCUGGCGGCGUGGAUUAGGCAUGCAAGUCGUACGCGAAAGAGGGAGCAAUCCCUUGAGUAGAGUGGCGAACGGGUGAGUAACGCGUGAGGAACCUGCCUUUGACAGGGGGAUAACACUCCCAACGGGGUGCUAAUACCGCAUGAGACCACGGGAUCGCAUGAUCCUGAGGUCAAAGAUGGCCUCUAUUUAUAAGCUAUCGGUCGAAGAUGGCCUCGCGUCCCAUUAGCUUGUUGGCGGUGUAAAAGACCACCAAGGCGACGAUGGGUAGCUGGUCUGAGAGGAUGGUCAGCCACACUGGGACUGAGAUACGGCCCAGACUCCUACGGGAGGCAGCAGUCGAGAGGCUUCGGCAAUGGGGGAAACCCUGACCGAGCGACGCCGCGUGGAGGAUGAAGGCCUUAGGGUUGUAAAGCUCUUUUAAGUGGGAAGAUAAUGACGGUACCACUAGAAUAAGCCCCGGCUAACUUCGUGCCAGCAGCCGCGGUAAU